UUCUUUAAGAAACACAAAAUAUUAUUUAAAGUAAAACCUGCUCAAUGACAAAAUUUAAAUAGCUGCAAAUAUAGUACUAAGGUAGCACAAUCAUUAGCCAUCUAAUUAGUGGAUAGAAUGAAAGGUCCAACGAAAAUUAAACUUUUUUAUAUAUAUAAAUUUAAAUUUACUUAAAAGUAAAAAGGCUUUUAUACAUAACAAAAAGACGACAAGACCCUAAUAAACUUAAAAAUUUAACUGGGGUGGUUAACAAAAAAACCUUAUAAAUAAAUAUUACCAUUAAUAAAUAAACAAUAAGAUAAAAUACAUUAAAAGUUACUUUAGGGAUAACAGCGCUAACUCUUUUUAAGAGAUCUAAUCUAAAAAAGAACCUACGACCUCGAUGUUGAAUUAAUUAAUCUUAAUUUUUUAAUAAAAUACUAAAGCGAAAAAGCUUAUUAAGAUGGUCUGUUCGACCAAUAAAUAAUU
RNAcentral lists this ribosomal RNA (468 nucleotides) under Priscula sp. Ven02/80-85. RNAcentral describes it as "partial 16S ribosomal RNA". Lineage: Eukaryota; Metazoa; Arthropoda; Arachnida; Araneae; Pholcidae. The record is from RNAcentral.